GCAGCGAUGCCGCGUGAGUGAAGAAGGCCUUUGGGUUGUAAAGCUCUUUCGUCGGGGAAGAAAAUGACUGUACCCGAAUAAGAAGGUCCGGCUAACUUCGUGCCAGCAGCCGCGGUAAU
Molecule: ribosomal RNA, 119 nt
Filed under: uncultured bacterium
Lineage: Bacteria
Description: partial 16S ribosomal RNA
Rfam family: Bacterial small subunit ribosomal RNA
Source: RNAcentral